CGUUGGGUCAUUGUCUCAAAACAGGUAUUCUUUUGCACUUCUGCUUUGAUCUCCAUUGCCUUUAGAGAGUGUCUGAGACACGUUGGCUUUUUUGGUUCGAAGUAUUUAGGUAACUUCGCGGAUCUCCACCUUCUCGAUACGAUCGGCGUAUGCGAGAAGGGCUCGCGCGAUCAUUCGGAUUACUUCGAAGCCUCCACCGCGGUGGAAGCUUCCAUUUGCGAUAUUUCACGUAUUUGCAGAUAUCGUGCUAUCAGUUCGACAGAACGCGGUACUGUUGGGCUCACGACUCCGCGUGAGUCUUAGUUCUCUUCGAGAACUCCGCUGCCAGGGACGCAGCAGCUCUCACGCGAGCCACGCUCGCUAUUGCUCCGCUGCCAGGGACGCAGCACUCACGCGAACCCAGUUCGCUGGUAAGUCAAAUCAAGACAUACGUCGUCGCAUCCGCGACUCAACACGCGAGUGACACUCGUUUCUACGUCUCAACGAGAGUUACCGUUAGUCACACAUGCGGUAUUAUCGACGCAAGUCAUGGUCACAUAUAAUGAUGCAUUUUCAUGGGCGUCAGUUGACGCUCAAAACGAGCGUCAAGACGCUCGGGUAAGGUUAGAUUAGUAGAAAUAGCGUCGAGAUUUUGACGCUCAAUGAAAAAGGUUUUCAUGCGUCAGUUUCUGGAAUUCGCGUCAAAAAGUAGAUACAUAUAGGCUGCGUUCCUUUAUUUACUGCGAGUACUGACGCUAUGACGUCAUGAAAGUGUACUGCUAGUAGCGUUCCGUUUUAACUUGGAGAACUAUUAAGGUGUUGCAAAGUUACAAAUCGGAACGAACCACAGUAUGCUUCGUGAAGCUUGUGUUUAUAGUUAGUGUUUCGGUUUAACCGCCGGCAUAUUAAGACGUGUCUGAACGUGUCUGAACGUGUCUGAACGUGUCUGAACGUGUUUGAACGUGUUCAGACGUGAUUUUUGGAAGUUGCCUUUGGAACCUACCAAGGCCCUACUCAUUCAUAUCUUUUUUCUUAAAUUUCCAAAUCGUCAAAGCGUGAGAUAUUUUACCUAAAUUCAUCUUUUGUUGUCUCUUACAUCUACGAUCGAAAUCUGAAAUCUAGCCAAAUAUCUAUUCUACAUACGAUGGAAGCACUGUUCGGGAGUAAUGGCGUAAAGUCACUCACAGGAAAAGUGUGCUCAGCCAAACAUUGAAACUGAAAUUUAUGUUUAUAGUUUGCGUGCUCGUGCAUUUUACAAACAUGAGUGAAAAGUCAAAUACUAAUAUGACUAUAAUUGCAUUAAUUGCAAGUAAUAGAAGAAUACGUAGAUGACGAAUCAAGCGAAAGCGAUUCGGACAUAGAAAUAGUAAAACAGUUAGUUGUACAAUCUCGGGUGCCACGAAUAAAGUGCAAAAAUUAUGUGGAAAAUAUUGUGACAGCAUACACUGAUAUGGAUUUUAAAAUGCAUUUUCGGUAAGUUAUUAAACACAAUGUUAAAAACUUAAUUGUACAUUAAAAUCACAAUUAUAUUUCUUAGAUUUCUAGAUUUAUUUGUAUUUACAACAUAUUUUACGAAGUAAUGUUUUAAAGACUAAACGUGUAUUUAUAUAUAUUAUUUAGUACAUAUUAAGUUCUCAAAAGUUAAUAAUUAAAAAUAAAGAUCAAUUAUUACUACAUAUAGGAUGACACGUACUACAUUCAUAUUUUUAUUAGAAUUAUUAUCUCCACAUUUGAAUAAAUAUUCAGACACAUGUGGACGUCUUCCAAUAUCUCCAGAGAAACAAUUAUUAGUAGCCAUUUGGAUGAUGGCAACACCUAAUUCAUAUAGUAAUAAAAGAAUACGUAGAUGACGAAUCAAGCGAAAGCGAUUCGGACAUAGAAAUAGUAAAACAGUUAGUUAUACAAUCUCGGGUGCCACGAAUAAAGUGCAAAAAUUAUGUGGAAAAUAUUGUGACAGCAUACACUGAUAUGGAUUUUAAAAUGCAUUUUCGAUGCAUAAGUGAUAGAUUUGGUAUUGGAAAGGCGACAGCUUGGAGAAGCGUACUAAAAGUUGUAUCUGGUUUAUACUAUCAUUUACAUACAUUUAUAAAAUGGCCAUCAGCAGAAGAAGUAAAAGUUACAUGGACAUAUAUGAAAAGGAAAUAUGGAUUCCCCAAAGUAAUAGGUGCAAUUGACGGAACGCAUAUACGUAUUGCAGCUCCACAAAUUAAUCCUGAGUGCUACGUGAACAGGAAAGGUUACCAUUCGCUACAGUUACAGGUACAGAAAGUGUAUAUUUAUUACUAAACACAAUAUUAGUAAUAAAUAAAUAUUAGUAAUAAAUAAAUAAAUAAAUAAA
This is an RNA transcript of Odontomachus brunneus, 2317 nucleotides long. It is a transcript of the gene named putative nuclease HARBI1, with no coding region annotated. The transcript is spliced from 3 exons. The record is from RefSeq and is a predicted model, not a curated record. Lineage: Eukaryota; Metazoa; Arthropoda; Insecta; Hymenoptera; Formicidae.